UUUCAUGUGUCAUUCAUUGUUAAAUCUUGAGAAAGCAGUAGAUUGAUUUCUAGAUUGCUACUCCUAAUUCGGGAAUUAGUAGAUAAUAUUUAUAGACUUUUCGAGUAAUGUGGUGGAAUCCGAUGCCUUUGUUACUUGGUCAUCAAGGUAAUCUUUAUCUAUUUUUUUGUUUUAGUUACUUUACCGUCAACUAGGUUAGUGUUAAAUUAAUUUGGAUUCGAUUAUUUUUUCUAUUUUCAUACAUUCUCUGUGGGUUCGACAUCGCUCUUGCAUAUUUGUGCUGCAACCGAUUUGAGCACUUACGAGUAACAUUUUAAAACACAUUAGGCCGCCUUGACCCGCCAAGAAGACGUUUUAACUCGCCAAGGGGCCGCCUUGACCCGCCAUAUGGGCUGCCUUGACCCUCCUUGACCCGCUUAGAGUUGCCUUGACCCACCUAAGCCCUCCUAGGGCCACCAAAGGGCCUCCAAGGGGUCGCCAUGACCCGUCUAGUGCCGCCUUGACCCAUCUAAGGCCACCUAGGGUCCGCCAUGACCCGCCUGACUCGCUUUGACCCGCCUUAACCCGUCUUGACCUGCUUUGAACCGCCUUGAGGCACCUUGGGGCGCCUUGACCCGCCUUGGCACUCUUAGGCCUGCCUAGGGCAGUCAAGGGGUCGCCAUUACCCUCAUAGAGUUGCCAAUGGGCUGUCUAGGGCCGCCAAGCGGCCGCCUUGAACUGCAUAGGGUCGUCUUGACCCGCCUUGAGCAGCAUUGGUCCACCUUGGCCGCCUUGACCCGCCAAGAGGCCGCCUUGACUCGUCUAGGGCCACCAAGGUGCCGCCUUGACCCGGUUGGGGCCGCAAAAGAGCCGCCUUCACCCGUCUAAUGCCGCCAUGGGGUCGCUUUGACCUGCUAAUGGGCUACCUUGACCCUCUUACACCUGCCUAGGGCCGCCUUUACCCUCCUAUUCCCAUCUAGGGCCGCCUUCACCCGCUUUGAACCGCCAGGAGGCGCAUUAGGCCGCAUUGACCCUCAUAGACUCGCUUUGACCCGCCUUAACCCGCCUUGACCCACUUUGAACCGCCUUAAGGCACCUUUGGCCGCCUUAACCCGCAUUGACCCUCUUAGGCCCGCCAAAGGCAGUCAAGGGGUCGCCAUGACCCUCCUAGAUUGUCUUGGGCCAUCUUGACCCGCCUUGGACCGCCUUGAGCAGCAUUGGUCCGCCUUGGCCCACCUUUACUCGCCAGGAGGCCGCCUUGACUCGUCCAGGGCCACCAAGGGGUCGCCUUGCCCCGGUUGGGGCCGCAAAAGAGCCUCCUUCACCUGUUUAAUGCUGCCAUAGGGUCGCCUUGACCUGCUAAUGGGCUACCUUUAUCCUCCUAGGCCCUUUUAGGGCCACCUUGACCCUCUUUGAACCGCCUUGAGGCGCCUUGGGUCACCUUGACCCGCUUUGGGCCGCCUUGACCUGGCUAGGGCCACCAAUGGGCCACGUUCAACCGUCUAAGGCCACCAAGUGGCAGCCUUGACACGCCAAGGGGUUGCCUUGACCCUCCUAGACCCGCCUAGGCCCGCCUUAACUCUCCUAGGCCCUCCUAGGCUCGCCUAGGGCCACAAACAGGCCGCUAUGACUCGCCAAGGGGCCGUCUUGACCCGUUUUGAACCGCCUUGACCCUCCUCGGCCCGCCUGGGACAGUUAAGGGGUUGCCAUGACCCUCCUAGGGUUGCUAAUGGGCUGUCAAGGGUUUGCCUUGGCCCUCCUUGGGCCCGUCUUGACCCGCCUUGACUCGUUUUGACCCGCCUUGGUUCGCUUUAAUCUGCCUUGACCCGCGAAUUGGCUUCCUUGACUCGUCUUUGAACCGCCAUGACUUGCUAAGGGGUCGCCAUGACCGUCUAAGGCCACCUAGGGGCCGCCUUGACCCGCCAAGGGGUCACCAUGACCGUCUAAUGCCAAGAGGCCGCCCUAACCCGCAUUGACCAGCCUUGACACGCCUUAACCGGCUUUGACCCGCCUUAACCUCCUUGAGACACCUUGGGCCGCCAUGACCCGCAUUAACCCUCUUUGGACCGCCAAGAGGCCGCCUUGACCCAUUUAGGGACACCAAGGAGCCGCCUUGACCCGGCUAGGGUGCCAAAGGGUCGCGUUCACCCCUCUAAGGUCACCAAGUGCUUCCCUUGACUCGCCUAGGGGGCUGCCUUGACCCUCGUAGGCCCUUCUAGGGCAGCCAAGGGGCCGCCAUGACUAGCCAUGGGGUCUCCAUGACCCGUCUUGACCUACUUUGAACCGCCUUGAGGCACCUUGGGCCGUUUUGACCCGCCUUCGCACUCUUAGGCCUGUCUAGGGCAGUCAAAGGGUCGCCGUGACCCUCCUAGAGUUGCCAAUGGGCUGUUUAGGGCCGCCAAACGGCCGCCUUGAACCGUAUAGGGUCGUCUUGACCAGCCUUAAGCAGUAUUGGUCUGCCUUGACUCGUCUAGGGCCACCAAGAUGCUGCCUUGACUCGGUUAGGGCCGCAAAAGAGCCGCCUUCACCCGUCUAAGGCCGCCAAGUGGCUGUCUUGACCUGCUAAUGGGUUUCCUUGACCCUCCUAGACCUGCCUAAGGCCGCCUUGACCCUCCUAGGCCCUUCUAGGGUAGCCAAGGGAUCGCCUUGACCCACUUUGAUAUGCCUUGACCCUCUUUGACCCGCUUUGACCCGCCUUGGUCCGCCUUAAUCCGCCUUGACCCGCGAAGAGGCCGCCUGGAUUCGUCUAGGGCCACCAAGGGGCCGCCUUGACCCUCCUAGUGCCGCCAAGAGGCCGCCUUGACCCAUCUAGUGACACCAAGGAGCCGACUUGACCCGCCAAGGGGGCUGCCUUGACCCUCCUUGACCUACAUAGGGUCGUCUUGACCCUCUUAGGCCCUUCUAGGGCCGCCAUGACUAGCCAAGGGGUCGCUUUGACCCAUCUAAGGCCACCUAGGUGCCGCCUUGACCCUCCUAGGGCCGCCAAGGGGCCGCCUUGACCCAUCUAAGGACACCAAGGAGCCGCCUUGACCCAUCUAGGGACACCAAGGAUUUGCCUUGACCCGGCUAGGGCUACCAAGGGGCCGUGUUCACCCAUCUAAGGUCGCCAAGUGGCCGCCUUAAUCCGCCAAGGGGCUGCCUUGAGCCUCCUAGACUCGUCUAGGGCCGCCUUGACCCAUCUUAGGUCACCUAGUUGCCACCAUGACCCGCCUUGACCCUCUUUGGGCCGCCAAGGGGCCGCCUUGACCCUCCUUAACCCGUAUUGACCCUUUUGAACCGCCUUGAGGCAUCUUUGGCUGCCUUGACCCGCCUUGACACGCCUUAGGCUGCCAAGAGGCCACCUUAACCCAUUUAGGGACACCAAGGAGACAUCUUAACCCGGCUAGGGCUGCCAUGGGGCCGCGUUCACCGGUCUAAGGUCGCCAAGUGGCCGCCUUGACCUGCCAAAAGGGCUGCCUUGACCCUCCUAGACCCGUCUAAGGCCGCCUUGACCCUCUUAGGGCCGCCAUGACUCGCCAAGGGGUUGCCUUGACCCAUCUAAGGCCACCUAGGUGUCGCAUAUACCUGCCUUGACCUUCCUAGGUCUAUCUAGGGACACCAAGGACUCGCCUUGACCCGUCUAGGGCUGCUAAGGGGCCGCGUUCACCCGUCUAAGGCCCCCAAGUGGCAUCCUUGAGCUGCCAAGGGGGCUGUUUUGAGCCUCUUAGACCCGCCUAAGGACACCUUGACCCUCUCAGGCUCUCAUAGGGCCACCAAAGGGCCUCCUUGACCCUCUUAGACCCGCCUAGGGGCCGCCUUGAUCCAUCGUAGGCCACCUAGUUGCCGCCAUGACCUGCCUUGACCAUCCUAGGGCCGCCAAGGGGCCACCUUGACCCGCAUUGACCCUCUUUGAACUGCCUUGAGGCAUCUUGGGCCGGCUUGACCCGCCUUGACAUGCCUUGGCCAAGAGGCCACCUUGACCCAUCUAGGGACACCAAGAAGACGCCUUGACCCGGCUAGGGCCGCUAAGGGGCCACGUUCAACGGUCUAAGGCCGCCAAGUGGCCGCCUUGACCUGCCAAGGAGGCUGCCUUGACCCUCCUAGACUUGCCUAGGGCUGCCAUGACUAGCCAAGGGGUCGCCUUGACCCAUUUAAGGCCACCUAGGUGUUGCCUUGACCCGCCUUGACCCUCCUAGGUCUAUCUUGGAAUGCCAAGGGGGCCGCCCUGAUCCGCCUUAACACGUCUUGACCCGCCUUAACCUCCUUGAGGCACCUUGGGCCGCCUUGACCCAUUUAGGGACACUAAGGAGCCGCCUUGCCCCAGCUAGGGCUCCAAGGGGUCGUGUUCACCCGUCUAAAGUCGCCAAGUGGCCGCUUUGACUUGCCUAGGGGGCUGCCUUGACCCUUGUAGGCCCUUUUAGGGCAGCCAAUGGGCUGCCAUGACUUGCCAAUGGGUCGCCAUGACCCGUCUAGGGCAGCUAAGGGGCCACCUUGACCCGGCAAGGGCUGCCAAGAGGCCGCGUUCACCCGUCUAAGGCCGCUUGACCUGCUAAUGGGCUACCUUAACCCUCCUAGAUCUGCCUAAGGCCGCCUUGACCCUCCUAGGCCCGUCUAGGGUAGCCAAGGGGCCGCCUUGACCCACUUUGAUCCGCCUUGACUCUCUUUGACCCGUUUUAACCCACCUUGAGCCGUCUUGGUCCGCCUUAAUCCGCCAAGAGGCCGUCUGGAUUCAUUUAGGGCCACCAAGGGGCCGGCUUGACCCGGUUAGGGCCGCUAAGGGGGCCGCCUUGACCCGUUUUAACCGGCCUUGACUAGCUUUGAACCGCCUUAGGCCACCAAGAGGCCGCCUUGACCCAUCUAGGGACCCAAGGAGCCGACUUAACCUGCCAAGAGGGACACCAAGGAGCCGCCUUGACCCGGCUAACCCGGCUAGGGUUGCUAGCUAGGGGGCCGCGUUCACCCGUCUAAGGCCGCCAAGUGGCCGCCUUGACCCGCCAAGGGGGUUGCCUUGACCCUCCUAGACCCGCCUAGGGCCGCCUUGACCCUCUUAGAGCCGUCAUAACCCGUCUGAGGCCGCCAAGAGACCGCGUUCACCCGUCUAAGGUCGCCAAGUGGCCGCCUUGUCCCGCCAAGAGGGCUGCCUUGACCCACCUAGACCCACCUAGACCCACCUAGGCCGCCGUGACCCUCUUAGGCUCUCAUAAGGCCACCAAGUGGUCGCCAUAACCCGCCUAGGGCUGCCUUGACCCACCUAGACCCGCCUAGGCCGCCUUAACCCACCUAGACUCACCAAGGGGCAGCCAUUACUCACCAAGGGGCCGCCUUGACCCAUCUUAGGCCACCUAGGGGCCGCCUUCACCCGCCUUGACCCAUAUUAGGCCACCAAGGGGCCGCCUUGAUCCGCUUUGACUCACCUUAACCCGCCUUGAGAUGUUUUGAACCGUCUUGAGGCACCUUUUCCCGCCUUGACCCUCCUAGGGCCGAAAAGAGGCCGCCUUGAAUUGACCCAUCUAGAGUAAGGUUGGGCAUAAAGCUCGUAGCAGGAAAAAAAAAAAAACCCCACAAACCGACCCAAACCGGCUGGGCCGGGCCGGCCUUUUUCCGAUACUUUUAUAAAAAAUGUUCAUUUCGGGCCGGUGCUUGACUAUGCCGAUCCGAGCCCGGGCCUUGAUUUUUUAAUAAUACUUGAGCCCGAAAGCCCGAACUAUAGUUAUGUUGUGUCAUUUAGCCCAUUAUGGGCUAGUUUUUCAAGCCGAGCUAGAGUAUUUCAAGUUGCAAUUAUACAAACAACCACAUGAGAUUAUCACCACCUUAUAAAACCUUAUCUUUCUAAUCUUAAAGAGCAGCUAGAUCGGCAUAUGGAACACAAAGACUAUCACUUUCUCAGUUUCUCUUCUCUCUUUCUAAAACACAGAGACGCAUAUGGAACCAAGUUUUAUCGGCAUAGAUCAAUCGAUGAAGAAGCUUCCUCUUUUUUCUUCUCUCUUCUCUCUUUCUCUCGUUCUUAAACAAGGUCGGCAAAGAUCAAUCGUUGAGAAGCUUUCUCUUAAAAUUUGAAGAAAAAAGCACGAUCUUGGAUUUGUCACUGAAAAUUGUGGGUUUUGUACAACAAUUUUCUUUUUCUGGGAACUAUAAAAUUGGGUCCAGUGUUUUUCUCUCUCUAAUUUCUUUGUCCUAGUGUUUUGCUCAGUUACUUAGAAGUUCUAGAUUUAAUUGAUAUUGUAUUGUGGUAUGUGUGAUUAGUUUGCAGUUAACACUACUAAGCAGAUUGGGUGGAAAUUGAGAAAGGACAAAGGAGAACACAGGUUUACUGAGAAUGGAGCAAAUAUGUCACUGAAAACAAGCCGAUGGCCCAGCAAGACCGGCCGGUUCUUGUCGGUCCGGGCUUUCGUCGGUUUUAGAAAUUUUCAGAGCAGAGACCGACCUGUUUGACUAGUGACCGGUCCAAGCCCGGUCCUUGAAAAAUUAGUGCCGGUCUGGGACCGUGCCCAGCCCAAAUCUACAGACACCAAGGAGCCGUCUUGACUCGGCUAGGGCCGCCAAGGGGCCGCGUUCACCUGUCUAAGGCCGCCAAGGGGGCUGCCUUGAUCCUCCUAGACCCGGGUGCCUAGGGCCACCUUGACCCUCCUAAGCCCUCUUAGGGCCGCCAAGAGGCCUCCAUGACUCGCCAAGGGUCGCCUUGACCCAUCUAAGGCCACUUAGGUGCCGCCAUGACCCACCUUAACCCUCCUAGAGCCGCCAAGGGGCAGCCUUGACCCACUUUGACCCUCCUAGGGCCGCCUUGACCCUCCUUAACCAUCCUAGAGACCGCCUUAACCCACAAAAGGACCGCCUUUACACUCCUAGGGUUGUUAAGAGGCCGCCUUGAACCACCUUGGGCCACAAAUGGGCAACAUUUACCUGGCUAGAGCAGCCACCUUGACCCGCCUUAACCCGCUUUAAACCGUCUUGACCUUCCUAGGCCCGCAUAGGGCAGUCAAGGGGUCGUCAUGACCCUCCUAGGGUUGCCAAUGAGCUGUCUAGAGCCGCCAAGCGGUCGCCUUGAAUCGUAUAGGGUAGCCAUGACCCGCCUUGACAUGUCUUGGGCCGUCUUGACCCGCCACGAGCCGCUUUGACCCGCCUUUAGCCACCAUGGGCAGCCUUGGCCCGCGUUAGGCCGUCUUAACCUUCCUUAAAUCGGCCUUGACCCGCCAAGAGGCCGCCUUGACUCGUCUAGGGCCACUAAGGGGCAGCCUUCACCCGGUUAGGGCCGUCAAAACGGCCGCCUUAACCCAUCUAAUGCCGCCAAGGGCUCACCAUGACCCGCUAAUGGGCGACCUUGACCCUCCUAGACCUGCCUAGGGCCGCCUUGACCCUUUUAGGCCGGUCUAAGGCUGCCUAGGGGCCGCCUUGACCUGCCUUAGGCCCCUUUAACCUGUCUAGGGCCUCCUUGAGCCACGUUGACACUCCUAGGCCCGCCGCCCUAGGGUUGCCAAUGAGCUAUCUAGGGCCGCCAAGCAGCCGCCUUGACCUGCCUUGACCCGCGUUGGUCCGCUUUGGCGCUCCUUAAUCCGCUUUGACCUACCAAUAGGCUGCCUUAACUGGCCUAGGGCCACCAAAGGGUCUCUUUCACCUGUCUAAUACCGCCAAGGGGUCACCUUGACCCUCCUAGACCUGCUUAAGGCCAUCUUGACCCUCCUAGGCCCGUCUAGGGCCGACAAAGGUCCGCCUUAACUCGCCUUGACCCGCUUUGAACCACCUUGAGGCGCCUUAGGCUGCCUUGACCCGCCUUGAUCCUCUUAGGGCUGCCUUGACCCGCCUAUGGUCGUUAAGGGGCCGCGUUCACCCGUCUAAGGCUGCCAACUGGCCACCUUAACCCGCCAAGGGGCUGGCUUGACCCUCCUAGGCUCGUCUUGGGCCACCAAGGGGCCGCCAUGACUCGCCAAGGGGUCGCCAUGACCCGUCUAGGACCGCCUUGACCCAUCUAAGGCCACCUAGGGGCCGAAUUGACCCAUCUAAGGCCACCUAGGGGCCGCCUUGACCUGUAUUGGCCUGCUUUAGGUCGUCUUAACCUGCCUAGAACCGCCUUGACCUGCCUAGGGCCGCCAAGCUGCCACCUUUACCCGCUUUGGCCUACCCUGGGCCGUCUUGACCUGCCUUCAGCCGCCUUGACCUGCCUUCAGCAGCCUUGGUCCGCCUUGACCGCAAGGUUGUGCUGACCCUCCUAGACCCGCCUAGGGCCGCCAUGACCCAUCUACGGCCACCUAGGUGCCGCUAAGGGGCCGCCUUGACCCUCAUAGGCCCUUCUAGGGCAGCCAAGGGGCUGCCUAGGGUUACCAGUGGGUUGUCUAGGGCCGCCAAUGUGUUGCCUUGACCCGCCUAGAGCCGCCAAGGGGCCACCUUGAACUGUCUAGGGCCGCCAAGCGGCCGCCUUGACCCACCUUGGGCCGUCUUAACCCGCCUUGACCCACCUUAAGCCGCCUUGGUCCACCUUGGCCCCCCUUAAUCGGCCUUGACCCUCCAAGAGGCCUCCUUGGCUCGUUUAGGGCCACCAAGGGGCCUCCUUGACUUGGGUAGGGCCGCUAAAUGGCUGCCUUCAUCCGUCUAAUGCCGCUAAGGGAUCGCCUUAACCAGCUAAUGGGCUACCUUGACCCUCGUAUACCUGUCUAGGGCCGCCUUGACCCUCCUAGGCCCGCCUACGGCAGUCAUGGAGUUGCCUUGACCCGCCUUGGGCCGUCUUGACCCGCCUUGAGCCGUCAUAAUCCGCCUUGACCCGCCAAGAGGCCGCCUUGACCCGUAAAGAGGCCGCUUUGACCUGCUUUAGACCACUUUAAUCCGCCUUGACUUAAUCUGUUUUAACCCGCCAAGAGGCCUCCUUAAUCCGCCCUGACCCACCAAGAGGCCGCCUUAAGCCGCCUUGGUCCACCAAGGGGCCGUCGUGACCUGGUUAGGGUCACAAAAGAGCCGCCUUCACCUGUCAAAUGCCGUCAAUGGGUCGCCUUGACGUACUAAUGGGCCACCUUGACCCUUCUAGACCUGCCUCGGGCCGGUUUGACCCUCCUAGGCCGGUCUAGGGCCACAAAGGAGCCGCCUUGACCCGUCUUGACCCGCUUUGAACCUCCUUGACCCUCCUAGGGCCGCCUUGACCCUCAUAGGGCCUCCAAGGGGCCGCCAUGACUAGCCAACAGGUCGCCAUGACACAUCUAAGGCCACCUAAGGGCCGCCUUGACCCGCCUUGACUCGCUUUGAACUGCCUUGAGGCACCUUGGGUCGCCUUAACCCAUCUAGGGACACUAAGGAGCCACCUUGACACAGCUAGGGUGUCAAGGGGCCGCGUUCACCCGUCCAAGAUUCUACCUUGACCCUCCUAAGUCCUCCUAGGCAGCCCCGGCUAUGGCCGCCUUUACCUGUCUUUACCCGCCUUAAACCGCCUAGGGCCGCCUUGACCCAUCUAGGUCCAUCAAGGGGCUGCCUUGACCUGGUUAGGGCAGCGUUCACCCGUCUAAGGCUGCCAAGGGGUUGCCUUGAUCAGCCAAGGGACUGCCAUGACCCUCCUAGACCGGUCUAUUGUCGCCUUUACCCUCUUAGGCCUGCCUAGGGCCACCAAAUGGCCGCCAUGACCCUCCUAGGCCCAUCUAGGGCCGCCUUGACCCGACUUGAACCGCUUUGACCCUCCUAGGCCCUUCUAAGGCAGCUAUGGGGCUGCCUAGGUCACCAAUGGGUUUUGUAGGUCCGCCACUGGGUUGCAUUGACCUGCUAAUGGGCUACCUUGAUCCUCCUAGGCCUCUCUAGGGCCGGCAAGGGGCAACCUUAAUCCGCUUUGAACCGGCUAGGGCAACCAAGGGGCUGCGUUCACCCGUCUAAGGCCGCCUUGACCCGCCAAAGGGUAGCCUUAACCCACUUUGAACCGCCUUGACCCGGCUAGGGCCACCAUGGGGCCACGUUCACCCGUCUAAGGCCACUUUGACCCUCCAAGGGGGCUGUCUUAACCCUCCUAGACCCGCCUAGGGCCGCCAAGGGACCGCCAUGACUCAUCAAGUGGUCGUCAUGACCCGUCUAGGGCCGCCAAGGGGCCUUAUUCACCCGUCUAAGGCCGCCAAGUCGCCACCUUGACCCGCCAAGAGGGCUGCCUUGACCCACCUAGACCUACCUAGGGCCGCCUUGACCCUCCUAGGCUCUCAUAGGACCACCAAGGGGCCGCCAUGACUCGCCAAGGGACGCCUUGACGCAUCUUAGGCCACCUAAGGGCCGCCUUCACCCACCUUAACCCCUCUUAGGCCACCAAGGGGCCGCCUUGAUCCGCUUUGACUCGCCUUAACCGCCUUAACAUGAUUUGAACCGCCUUAAGGCACCUUUGGCAGCCUUGACCCACCUUAACCCUCCUAGGGCCGCCAAGAGGCCGCCUUGACCCAUCUAGAGACAUCAAGAAGCCGCCUUGUCCCGGUUAGGGCUGCCAAGGGGCUGCGUUCACCCGUCUAAGGUCGCCAAGUGGCCGCCUUGACCUGCCAAGGGGGCUGUUUGACCCUCAUAGACCCGCCUAGACCCUCCUAGGGACGCAUGACUCACCAAGGGGUCGUCUUGACCUAUCUAAAGCCACCUCGGUGCAGCCAUGACCCGCCUUGACUCUCCUAAGGAUGUCAAGGGGCCGCCUUGACCCGCUUUGACCCUUCUAGGGCCGUCUUGACCCGCUUUGAACCGCCUUGGAACAUCUUGACCCGCCUUGGGCCGCCUUCACUCUUUUAGGGCCGCCAAGGGGCCACGUUUAGCCGUCUAAGCCCACCAAGUGGCCGCCUUGACACGCUAAGGGGGCUGCCUUGACCCUCCUAGACCCGCCUUAACUCUCCUAGACCCUCCUAGGCUCGCCAAGGGCCACCAACGGGCUGCCAUGACUCGCCAAGGGGCCGCUUUGAACCGCCUUGAGGCGCCUUGACCCGCCUUAGCCGCCUUGACUCUCGUAGGCCCGUCUAGGUCUACCAAAGGGCCGCCUUGACCCACCUUGGCCCGCCUAAGGACCGCCUUUACCCACCUUGACCGGUCUAGGGCCACCAAGGUGUAACAUUGACCAGGCUAGGUGUUGCCUUGACCCUCGUAUGUCUUCCUAGGCGGCCCCUGCUGGGCCCCCCUUAACCCGCCUUAACCCGCCUUGGGUCCCCUUAACCCGUCUAAGGCCGCAUUGACCGGUCUUGGGCUGCCUUGACCUCCUAGGCCCGCAUAGGGCAAUCAAGGGGUCGCCAUGACCCUCCUGGGGUUGCCAAUGAGCUAUCUAGGACAGCCAAGCGGUCGCCUUGACCCGCAUAGGGUCGCCCUGACCUAUCUUAGGCCGUCUUGACCGGCCUUGAGUCGCCUUGGGCUGCCUUGACCUCCUAGGCCCGCAUAGGGCAGUCAAGGGGUCGCCAUGACCCCUCUUGGGGUUGCCAAUGAGCUAUCUAGGACUGCCAAGCGGUCGCCUUGACCCGCAUAGGGUCGCCCUGACCUGUCUUGGGCCGUCUUGACCCGCCUUGACCGCCUUAAGCCACGUUGGUCCACCUUGGCCCGCCUUAAUCCGCCUUGACCCGCCAAGAGGCCGCCUUGACUCGUCUAGGGCCGGCCACCAAGGGGACGCCUUAACCUGGUUAGGGCCAUCAAACGGCCGUGUUAACCCAUCUAAUGCCGCCAAGGGGUCGCCUUGACCUGCUAAUGGACUACCUUGACCUCUAGACCUGCCUAGAGCCGCCUUGACCCUUAUAGGCCAGUCUAGGGCCGCCAAGCAGUCGCCUUGACCCACAUAGGGUGGCCCUGACCUGUCUUGGGCCGUCUUAACCGGCCUUGAGCCGCCUUGGGCCUCCUUUGCCCGCAUUGGGCAGUCUUGACCCGCCUUAAGCCACGUUGGUCCACCUUUGCCCGACUUAAUCCGCCUUGACCCGCCAAGAGGCCGCCUGGACUCGUCUAGGGCCGGCCGUCAAAGGGACGCCUUAACCCGGUUAGGGCCAUUAAAUGGCCGCGUUAACCCAUCUAAUGCCGCCAAGGGGUCGCCUUGACCUACUAAUGGACUACCUUGACCCUCCUAGACCUGCCUAGAGCCGCCUUGACCCACAUAGGCCGGUCUAGCGCUGCCAAGGGGCCGCAUUAACCCGCCUUGACCCGCUUUGAGCCGCCUUGAGGCGUCUUGGGCAGCCUUGACCCUCCUUGGGUGCCCUUAACCCGUCUAGGGCCGCCUUGACCCUACUAGGCCCGCCUAGGACAGUCAAGGGGUUGCCAUGACCCUCCUAGGGUUGCCAAUGAGCUGUCUAGCCCACCUUGAUCCGCCAUGGGCCGUAUUGACCUGUCUUGGCCUGCCUUGGGCCGUCUUGACCCGCAUUGGUCCGCCUUAAUCCUCUUUGACCAGCCAAGAGGCCCCCUUGACUCGCCUAGGGCCGCCUUCACCUGUCUAAAACUGCCAAGGGGUCACCUUGACCUGCUAAUGGGCUUCCUUGACCCUCCUAGGCCCGUCUAGGGCCGCCAAGACCCGCUUUCAACCGCCUUCAGGCACUUUGGGCCGUUUUGACUCGCCUUGACCCUCCUAGGCCGCCAAGAGGCCGCCUUGACCCAUCUAGGGACACAAAGGGGCCACCUUGACCCGGUUAGGGCCAUCAAAGGGCCGCGUUCACCUGUCUCAGGCCGCCAAGUGGCCGCCUUGACUCACCAAGGUGGUUGCCUCGACCUUCCUAGACCCACCUAGGGCCGCCUUGACCCUCAUAGGCCCUCCUAGGCCUCCUAGACCAGCUAAGCGGGUCGCCAUGACCCUUCUAAGGCAGCCAAGGAGCAGCCUUGACCCGCUUUGAACCGCUUUCAGGCACCUUGGGCCGCCUUGACCCACUUUGACCCGCCUUGUCCCUCCUAGGACGCUAAGAGGACGUCUUGACCCAUCGAGGGACACAAAGGGGCCGCCUUGACCCGGCUACCCGGCUAGGGCCGCCAAGGGGCCGCGUACACCCAUCUAAGGCCGUCUUGACUCACUUUUAACUGCUUUCAGGCACCUUGGGCUACCUUGACCCUCUUAGACCCGCCUAAGGCCGCCUUGACCCUCAUAGGCCCUCCUAGGGCAGCCCCUUGGCUGCCUAGGGUCUCCAGUGGGUUGUCUAGGGCCACCAAGGUGCUGCCUUGACCCGCUUAGGGCCACAAAGAGGCCACCUUGAACUGCCUAGGGCCGCCUUGACCCAUCUAAGGCCACCUAAGGGCCGCCUUGACCCUCCUAGGCCCAUCUAUAGACUCCAAGGGGCCACCUUGACCCUCUUUGACCCGCCUUAACCCACCAUGACCCGUUUUGAAUAGCCUUAAGGCACCUUCGGCCGCCUUGACCCAUCUAAGGACACCAAAGAGCCACCUUAACCCGGCUAGGGCGCCAAGGGAUAGCGUUCCCCCUUCUAAGGCCGCCAAUUGGCCGCCUUGACCCGCCAUGGGGGCUGCCUUGACCCUCUUAGGCCCUUCUAGGGCAGCUAAAGGGCCGCGAUGACUCGCCAAGGGGUUGCCAUGACCCGUCUAGGGCAGCCAAGGGGCCGUCUUGACUUUGCUAGAGUCGCCAAGGGCCGCUUUCACUCGUUUAAGGCCGCCAAGUGGCCGUCUUGACCUGCUAAUGGGCUACCUUAACCCUCCUAGACCUGUCUGAGGUCGCCUUGACCCUCCUAGGCCCGUCUAGGGUAGCCAUGGGGCCGCCUUGACCUGCUUUGACCUGCCUUGAGCCACCUUGGUCUGCCUUACCCCGCCUUAAUCCACCUUGACCAGCCAAGAGGCCGUCUUGAUUCGUCUAGGGCCAACAAGGGGCCACCUUGACCCAAUUUGGGCCGCUAAAGGGCUGCCUUAACCACCUUUGAAUCGCCUUGACCCGCCUUGAUCCAAAUUGGGCUGCCUUGACCCUCCUAGGGCCGCCAAGAGGCCGCCUUAACCCAUCUAGGGACACCAAAGGAUCGCCUUGACCCGACUAGAGCCGCCAAGGGGCCGCUUUGACCCAUCUAGAGCCGCCAAGUGGCCGCCAUAACCCGCUAAUGGGCUGCCUUGACUCGCCAUGGGGGCUGCCAUGACCCUCCUAUGCCCUCUUAGGGAGACCAAGGGGUUGCCAUGACUUGCUAAUGGGCUACCAUAGUUUCUUUCUAUUUGUUUGUGCUUAUUGGCGCCUCCUAACAUCUUUUAAACCAAUCAAGCAUUAAAAGCUCACGGUUUAAAUUAGUUUACUAGUGAUCGAGCGAUUUCAGCCAAAACCCUUUAUUAUAGCACACGAAUUUUUGGGCAGUUUAACUAUUUCUGGGCCACAGUUUUUUUCUAUUUGUUUGUGCUUAUAGACAUCUCCUAACAUCUUUUGAACCAAUCUAGCAUUAAAAGCUCGCGGUUUAAAUCAGUUUACUCGCGAUUUCAGUUAAAACCGCUUACUAUAGCAUACAAAUAUUUAGGCAGUUUAACUAUUUCUGGGCCACAAUUUUUUUCCAUUUG
RNAcentral lists this long non-coding RNA (14379 nucleotides) under Fragaria vesca (wild strawberry). RNAcentral describes it as "long non-coding RNA (FVES_LNC002749)". Lineage: Eukaryota; Viridiplantae; Streptophyta; Magnoliopsida; Rosales; Rosaceae. The record is from RNAcentral.